Molecule: ribosomal RNA, 497 nt
Filed under: uncultured bacterium
Lineage: Bacteria
Description: partial 16S ribosomal RNA
Rfam family: Bacterial small subunit ribosomal RNA
Source: RNAcentral
GAUGAACGCUGGCGGCGUGCCUAAUACAUGCAAGUCGAGCGAACAGAUGAGGAGCUUGCUCCUCUGACGUUAGCGGCGGACGGGUGAGUAACACGUGGAUAACCUACCUAUAAGACUGGGAUAACUACGGGAAACCGGAGCUAAUACCGGAUAAUAUAUUGAACCGCAUGGUUCAAUAGUGAAAGACGGUUUUGCUGUCACUUAUAGAUGGAUCCGCGCUGCAUUAGCUAGUUGGUAAGGUAACGGCUUACCAAGGCAACGAUGCGUAGCCGACCUGAGAGGGUGAUCGGCCACACUGGAACUGAGACACGGUCCAGACUCCUACGGGAGGCAGCAGUAGGGAAUCUUCCGCAAUGGGCGAAAGCCUGACGGAGCAACGCCGCGUGAGUGAUGAAGGUCUUCGGAUCGUAAAACUCUGUUAUUAGGGAAGAACAAAUGUGUAAGUAACUAUGCACGUCUUGACGGUACCUAAUCAGAAAGCCACGGCUAACUACGUG